UGUGGCUUCUAAGCACCUGGGUAGACCAAGAAAGUGCAUGAUUUAAUUGGAUUCAUGGUCCAGGUGCUCUGUUUUCCAUAGCACAUCUAUGCAUCAACUGUUCGUUGAAAUGCGUACCUAGGAUAUAAAUGAUAUUACCAAUAGUUUGCACAUUAUUCCAUUAUUAAAAAAUAGCAGUAAUUAGUCGCGCACACUACCUAGACUCAUUUGUGCUGGUAGCUUGUUGCAAUUUAACAGUACAUUUAGCUUUUGCACUGCUCUCUGUUCCCUAGAAGCUGACUCUUUGUAUUCUUUUAUCUGACUUGCAGAGCAUCACAUUUCAGUGUGAAUAAGGAGAAGAGUAACAAUAAUGGUUUUUACCAUUUAAUCUAACCCAUGAUUUUCCUGUUUAUACAAUAAGUGCACAUUGGUAAAAGAAUAAAUCUUGCUAUCUAAUUUAAGGAUGCAUGCUCCUUGGAAAUUUAAUAACUCGGCUCAUAAAUAAAUGUGGGAUCUGUUUGCUUCAUGCAUAUGUUCAGCUCUGAAUGUCUAUUGCAUGAUAUUAUGGUUCUAAAAGAAACAUAGUGGUGCAUUGAUCUAUUGCAUUCUCACUUGAUGAUUGAAACCAAAGGGCUGGUUAGGCUUCAAGCCAUUUUAAAAGGGCUGGUUAGGCUGGCACAUGAUUUGAUUACAGAUUACCAUAUUUUCCUAUAGAAACAUAUCGUGCUCUUGUUAGAAAAUAACUGACAUGGUCGUGCAACAAUUUAGUUUGUGAGCUUUUAGUUUUUUCGUGCAACAAUUUAGUUUGUUUGUGAACUUUUAGCGUAGUAUUAAAUUACAGAAUGGCUGGUGUGAUAGUAUUGGUUCUGUGGAAGAUAUCCAAACAAAACUUUUAAAGUGGCAGGAAGCUGCAGCUAAACGCGAGCGAGCCAUGGCCUAGGCUCUUACUCAUCAGGUAUUUUGUGACAAUCUUGAAAUAGAAACACCUGCAGAAAUAACUGUGAUUGAAGUCAGCAAGCUAAGUUGGAAACAAAACACAUGCUUUUGCUAAGUCAAAGCUAAGCAACAAGGUGGCAUGUUAGCUUCUGGUGGAACUUCAACCUUUUGCAAGAACAAAACUUUGCUGUUGUAGCUUCAUGUACCUUUGGUUGUUUCUGCUCCUUUUUGUUGUCUUUUGUCCUAAGCCUUUUUAUUGUUUCUGAUCCUUGAAUGUUGGGAUGCUAGUGCUACUGGUUGGAAAGACUGUAUGUGAUCCCUUAUUUUGAUGUUAUUCUGGAUGGAAUAUGGAAUAUUAUGGUCAUAUAUUUUGGUCUGGUA
Long non-coding RNA from Panicum virgatum (switchgrass), 1296 nucleotides. RefSeq lists it as uncharacterized. NCBI's taxonomy places the organism in Eukaryota, Viridiplantae, Streptophyta, Magnoliopsida, Poales, Poaceae. The record is from RefSeq and is a predicted model, not a curated record. The transcript has 2 exons.